AGUCAUAUGGAUUGUGUCAGCACGCGCGGUAAUACGAAGGUCCAAGCGUUGUUCGGAAUCACUGGGCGUAAAGGGAGCGUAGGCUGUGCGGUAAGUCAGAUGUGAAAUCCCGGGGCUCAACCCCGGAACUGCAUCCGAUACUGCCAUACUAGAGGAUUGGAGAGGUAGCUGGAAUUCACGGUGUAGCAGUGAAAUGCGUAGAUAUCGUGAGGAACACCAAUGGCGAAAGCAAGCUACUGGACAACUCCUGACGCUGAGGCUCGAAGGCCAGGGUAGCGAAAGGGAUUAGAUACCCCUGUAGUCCUGGCAGUAAACGGUGCGCGCUUGGUGUGAGAGGAUUCGACCCCUCUUGUGCCGGAGCUAACGCGUUAAGCGCGCCGCCUGGGAAGUACGGUCGCAAGACUAAAACUCAAAGAAAUUGACGGGGACCCGCACAAGCGGUGGAGUAUGUGGCUUAAUUCGAUGCAACGCGAAGAACCUUACCAAGGCUUGACAUGCAUCUCUAAUCGCGUGAAAGCGCGUGACCCUUCGGGGGAUUUGCACAGGUGCUGCAUGGCCGUCGUCAGCUCGUGUCGUGAGAUGUUGGGUUAAGUCCCGCAACGAGCGCAACCCCUGUGAUCAGUUGCCAGCACAUAAUGGUGGGAACUCUGGUCAGACUGCCCAGAUCAACUGGGAGGAAGGUGGGGACGACGUCAGGUCAGUAUGGCCCUUACGCCUUGGGCUGCAGACGUACUACAAUGCCCAGUACAAUGAGAACCGAUACCGCGAGGUGGAGGAAAUCUACAAAACUGGGCCCAGUUCGGAUUGGAGGCUGCAACUCGCCUCCAUGAAGUCGGAAUCGCUAGUAAUGGCACAUCAGCUACGGUGCCGUGAAUACGUUCCCGGGUCUUGCACACACCGCCCGUCA
Molecule: ribosomal RNA, 907 nt
Filed under: uncultured bacterium
Lineage: Bacteria
Description: bacterial SSU rRNA
Rfam family: Bacterial small subunit ribosomal RNA
Source: RNAcentral